Molecule: ribosomal RNA, 470 nt
Filed under: uncultured bacterium
Lineage: Bacteria
Description: bacterial SSU rRNA
Rfam family: Bacterial small subunit ribosomal RNA
Source: RNAcentral
ACUCCUACGGGAGGCAGCAGUGAGGAAUAUUGGUCAAUGGGCGCAAGCCUGAACCAGCCAUGCCGCGUGCAGGAUGACGGUCCUAUGGAUUGUAAACUGCUUUUGUACGGGAAGAAACACUCCUUCGUGAAGGAGCUUGACGGUACCGUAAGAAUAAGGAUCGGCUAACUCCGUGCCAGCAGCCGCGGUAAUACGGAGGGGGUUAGCGUUGUUCGGAAUUACUGGGCGUAAAGCGCGCGUAGGCUGACUAUUAAGUCAGGGGUGAAAUCCCGGGGCUCAACCCCCGGAACGGCCCUUGAUACUGGUAGUCUUGAGUUCGAGAGAGGUGAGUGGAAUUCCGAGUGUAGAGGUGAAAUUCGUAGAUAUUCGGAGGAACACCAGUGGCGAAGGCGGCUCACUGGCUCGAUACUGACGCUGAGGUGCGAAAGUGUGGGGAGCAAACAGGAUUAGAUACCCUGGUAGGAUAGCGU